Molecule: ribosomal RNA, 460 nt
Filed under: uncultured bacterium
Lineage: Bacteria
Description: partial 16S ribosomal RNA
Rfam family: Bacterial small subunit ribosomal RNA
Source: RNAcentral
CCUACGGGCGGCAGCAGUGAGGAAUAUUGGUCAAUGGGCGCGAGCCUGAACCAGCCAAGUCGCGUGAGGGAUGACGGUCCUACGGAUUGUAAACCUCUUUUGCCGGGGAGCAAGCGUGCGUUCGUGAACGCGCGUCGAGAGUACCCGGAGAACAAGCAUCGGCUAACUCCGUGCCAGCACCCGCGGUAAUACGGAGGAUGCGAGCGUUAUCGGGAUUUAUUGGGUUUAAAGGGUGCGUAGGCGGGAUGCCAAGUCAGCGGUAAAAAUGCGGUGGUAAAUGUCGUAGUGCAGUUGAAACUGGCGUUCUUGAGUGGGCGAGAGGUAUGCGGAAUGCGUGGUGUAGCGGUGAAAUGCAUAGAUAUCACGAAGAAUUCCGAUUGCGAAGGCAGCAUACCGGCGCCCUACUGACGCUGAGGCACGAAAGCGUGGGUAGCGAACAGGAUUAGAUACCCUGGUAGUC